AGGUUAAUGUUUGAUAUUAUAUGAUGAUCGUAAUGCCCGUGUAUCUUUUCGCUCAAUCCUUUUAGGGUAUUUUGAGACUCGGGGACAACUUUGUUCGGCAAAACGAGGCCCUACGCGACGGUUCGGUGGGUUUGACCUAGCCCUUAUAUGAGAAAUUCUCAUAUAUUGUGAAAUAUGUUUCGUAAAUUGGAAAAGCAUGCAUAUUCAUACUAAAUGUAUUUAUUAUGAUUUUUAGAAUGCUUAAUAUGCAUAUGUUAUGUAUAGUAAAUUUUUCGACCCCUAUGUGGUAGGGUACAUGCUUGUGGGAUAUAGCAUUCUAGUUGAGACUUGGAACCAUGAUUCCUAUUAUGAAAAUUGAACAUUGUUUCUAUGCAUUCCACUCUUAUGCCUAAUCGUGAUGUUAGGGACUUUGGAUGCCUAGAGAGGCUUGGGGACUUAGUUUAUUUGGGAUUUUGGGUCAAUGUCAUAAAGAGGCAUUGGGCCCCGAGUUAUAGUAAACAUCGGUAUUAAUGUCAUAUUUGGGACAUAGAACAUGAUUUGAGCUUGGUUAGUUGUGGUGCUUAAGUGUCAUAAAGAGGCACUAAGCAAGUGAGUAUUGAGAUAUCACCUUGUGACUUUGAGCUAGACCGUUGGGUUACUAGUAGCUAUUGCCAUGUUAGAGACAUGAGGAUUGGAUACUCGAGACUUGGACUAUGCUUGUUUGCCAUUUGUGCUCAUUCGCACAUGCUUGUGAGGGUCGCUCCCUACAAGCCGGCACUCCGGAGUUAGCCUACGCGACUUUUGAUCGCUCGUGCGGUAUUGAGAAGCCUACGGGGUCGAGUGGGACAGACACAUUCCAAGAGUAGGGAUGUUGGGCUACCACAGGCACUUAGGCGGCACAAGCUGGACUACCUUUGGUAGGUCCUCUGUUGGAAAUGGAAAUCGACACGGUGUUGAGUUUAUUAUGAAUCAUACCUAGACAAGUCAGUAGCUGGUACUGACUUACUCUAGCAUAGUGGACAUUUGCAUUCAUACAUACAUGAUAGUAGCUAGCGAGAUGUCUGGUUAUGCAUCCUUAUAUGCAUUGUAGUCAUGACAGAGUUCACUUUCAUAUCUGUAUAAAGUAAAUCAUGACAUUAUCUGUAACAUGUAAAUUUAUUAAUAUCUCACGAAAGAUAAAAUUGCAUUAUAAAUGCCAUGUUACUUGCAAGUAGAAGUUAGCUCUUAAUCAUGCUCUUCAUAUAUGCAAUUACUCGUACUAUAUGUCGUUACUUACCCUUUUCUUUUGGGGCCUAGUGGUGCAUUGAGCUGAGGUCAGUAAUUGCCCACUGGGAACUAUAAAUUAUAGUUCUCACGCCCUCUUUUUCUCGAUGUUUUUCAGAGCCUUCCACGCAGGGUGAGGCCAGGGAUCGCGGGAAGGGAGUUGCUUCGAGCUAGCUUCCUUCGAGGACGAGUUGCUAG
RNAcentral lists this long non-coding RNA (1440 nucleotides) under Ananas comosus (pineapple). RNAcentral describes it as "long non-coding RNA (ACOM_LNC031549)". Lineage: Eukaryota; Viridiplantae; Streptophyta; Magnoliopsida; Poales; Bromeliaceae. The record is from RNAcentral.